Molecule: ribosomal RNA, 493 nt
Filed under: uncultured bacterium
Lineage: Bacteria
Description: partial 16S ribosomal RNA
Rfam family: Bacterial small subunit ribosomal RNA
Source: RNAcentral
AUUGAACGCUGGCGGCAUGCCUUACACAUGCAAGUCGAACGGUAACAGGUUAAGCUGACGAGUGGCGAACGGGUGAGUAAUGUAUCGGAACGUGCCCAGUCGUGGGGGAUAACGUAGCGAAAGCUACGCUAAUACCGCAUACGAUCUACGGAUGAAAGCGGGGGAACGCAGGACCUCGCGCGAUUGGAGCGGCCGAUAUCAGAUUAGGUUGUUGGUGAGGUAAAAGCUCACCAAGCCUGCGAUCUGUAGCUGGUCUGAGAGGACGACUAGCCACACUGGAACUGAGACACGGUCCAGACUCCUACGGGAGGCAGCAGUGGGGAAUUUUGGACAAUGGACGCAAGUCUGAUCCAGCAAUGCCGCGUGCAGGACGAAGGCCUUCGGGUUGUAAACUGCUUUUGUACGGAACGAAACGGUGAGCUCUAAUACAGUUUGCUAAUGACGGUACCGUAAGAAUAAGCACCGGCUAACUACGUGCCAGCAGCCGCAGUAA